UACGAAGGGGGCUAGCGUUGCUCGGAAUCACUGGGCGUAAAGGGUGCGUAGGCGGGUUUUUAAGUCAGGGGUGAAAUCCUGGAGCUCAACUCCAGAACUGCCUUUGAUACUGAAGAUCUUGAGUCCGGGAGAGGUGAGUGGAACUGCGAGUGUAGAGGUGAAAUUCGUAGAGAUUGGGAAGAACACCAGUGGCGAAGGCGGCUAUCUGGACGGUUUCUGACACUAAGACUCGAAAGCGUGGGGAGCAAACAGG
Molecule: ribosomal RNA, 253 nt
Filed under: uncultured bacterium
Lineage: Bacteria
Description: partial 16S ribosomal RNA
Rfam family: Bacterial small subunit ribosomal RNA
Source: RNAcentral